Molecule: long non-coding RNA, 409 nt
Filed under: Rattus norvegicus (Norway rat)
Lineage: Eukaryota; Metazoa; Chordata; Mammalia; Rodentia; Muridae
Description: long non-coding RNA NONRATT019977
Source: RNAcentral
CACAGAGGCUGAGAUCCCAGGCAAGACCCAACAGCAUCUGCCUGCCUUGCAGGAUCUUAAAGCUGCAGCCCAAGUUAGUUUCGAACUCACGGCGGUCCUGGCAUCUGAAGGGCAGCAGCACACCCAACUUUUCUUCUUGUACUUCUUCUCCCCCAUUCAUGUAAUCUUUGCUCGGAUGCCGAUGACCCCCAUUUCAGAGAUGCGGGAAAGGAGGCUUUGAACAAAUCAGUCACUCAACCAAGGAUGUACACCUGGCCAAGCCUCGGGCUCUUCCUCAUUGCACCUCUUCACCUAUGUGCAAGCAACAGAUCUUUCCAACAGUCUUCUGGACAUUCCUAGAGGUAGCUCAGCCCUUGACCUUUUGGCUACAAUCAAGAGUAGCAACAGAACUGAAGUUGAUGGCACACAG